Molecule: ribosomal RNA, 253 nt
Filed under: uncultured bacterium
Lineage: Bacteria
Description: partial 16S ribosomal RNA
Rfam family: Bacterial small subunit ribosomal RNA
Source: RNAcentral
GACAGAGGGUGCAAACGUUGUUCGGAAUUACUGGGCGUAAAGCGAGUGUAGGCGGUCCGCUAAGUCGGGUGUGAAAGCCCUGGGCUCAACCCAGGAAGUGCACUCGAAACUGGCGGGCUAAAGUAUCGGAGAGGUUGGUGGAAUUCUCGGUGUAGAGGUGAAAUUCGUAGAUAUCGAGAGGAACACCGGUGGCGAAGGCGGCCAACUGGACGAAUACUGACGCUGAGACUCGAAAGCGUGGGGAGCAAACAGG